Humulus lupulus (European hop) is the source of this 1160-nucleotide RNA transcript. RefSeq lists it as uncharacterized. The transcript has 5 exons. The record is from RefSeq and is a predicted model, not a curated record. NCBI's taxonomy places the organism in Eukaryota, Viridiplantae, Streptophyta, Magnoliopsida, Rosales, Cannabaceae.
CUCAUUAGCUCUAUCAGUCGCCCCUCCCCCUCCCUUACCCUCUCCAUCGCUGUCUUCUCUCAGCCCGGCUAUCUCUCUCUUUUCUCUAAGCCUCGACCACAAACGCCUCCUCUCCACUUAACUCUCCCCUUCUUCUCUCUCGUCUUUGGCCCUGCGUCCCCCGGAUCCACUCGACUCUCCCCUUCUUCUCUCUCAACAACGGUGCUCUUCCUUCCGACGGCGCCGACAACAUAGUGGUGGUGGUCCGUGGCAUGGUUGGUGGUGCAAUGGGGCUUGCCAACCCUCAACAGCAAUUGAGAGAUUGGCAGAGGCAUCUCUACCAAGAAUGCCGCAACAUCGAACGAUAGAUUAGAGGCAAUGCUCUCUCUCUCUCUCUCUCUCUCUCUUUCUCUGGUAAAUUUCUUUUUUGGUGGUUGAUGUUAUUGUUUUCUUAUAUGGGUUUGUUUGCUUGAUUGUUUCUAGAUGUUCAAAGAGAGCAGAAGGGUGUGGAGAAAGCCAUUAAAGAGGCUGGCAAGAGAAGUGACAUGGGCUCAGCCAAGGGACUGGUGGCUUUUGCUGAAAAUGGAUUGAUGAUCAGAUGGUGGUCUUAGGGACCAGUUUGGUGGGAAAAAUCGAGUCCCUGCUCAGUGUACCAAAUUGAUCUUUGUGUCGCCAUGGGAGGGAUUCUCGCCUAAUUCUUCUAGGUCAAUCAUGAUGGCAAGCGUAAUGGAACAUGAAAAUCAAGUAGAUUUUCAGAUAUUUGAUUUUGGACUAGCAAAAUAGAUGCCAUCUUAAUGGACUCAUCAUUCAAUUGCUCUUAAUAUUUCUCAGGUUGACCUUAUCAUCAACAAGGUGCCAAGUCUAUCAAGGAUACUCUAUAUUAGAUGGCUCUUGAAGUCAUUAUCCAGAGUGCUCAUCCUGAGUCAUUGCCUUAACCGAGAGCUUCUAAAUUUCCCAAAGGAUUGUGCAAAUAAGAAGGUGUCAGUGAAAAUGCAUCACUGGACUAAUAUUGUUGUGGUGUCCGCGCCACGCCUCAAUGUAUUUAUCUUUUUUUUAUUUGUAAGGAAGCUAAGGAUACCUUUGUUUGGAUUGAUCAUACUUUGGACUAUAUUGUUCAUUAAUUUAGGAAUAUUUGUUUCUUUCUUGGUAUUGAUUAAAUGUAUAAUAAAUCUUGGAUACUA